GCUUCCUUGGCUCAGUUGGCUAGAGCGCAGGUCUCAUACGCAUUGUAUGAGUAAUCAUCAGAUUACGUAAUCCUGAGGUCGCAAGUUCGAGCCUUGCAGGGAGCA
Molecule: non-coding RNA, 105 nt
Organism: Pholiota molesta
Lineage: Eukaryota; Fungi; Basidiomycota; Agaricomycetes; Agaricales; Strophariaceae
Source: the annotation of a GenBank genome assembly